GUGCUGGCUUUGAUGCCACAUGUACUAAAAUUGGAGCAAUACGGAGAAGAUUAUUGUGGUCCCAGUGCAAGGAUGACAUCCAAAUUUGUGAAGUGUUUCAUAAUUUU
Molecule: small nuclear RNA, 107 nt
Organism: Mesocricetus auratus (golden hamster)
Lineage: Eukaryota; Metazoa; Chordata; Mammalia; Rodentia; Cricetidae
Source: Ensembl